GGAAGCUAAUACCGGAUACGACGUACGGAGGCAUCUCCUGUACGUGGAAAGAACUUCGGUCAAGGAUGGACUCGCGGCCUAUCAGGUAGUUGGUGAGGUAACGGCUCACCAAGCCUACGACGGGUAGCCGGCCUGAGAGGGUGACCGGCCACACUGGGACUGAGACACGGCCCAGACUCCUACGGGAGGCAGCAGUGGGGAAUAUUGCACAAUGGGCGCAAGCCUGAUGCAGCAACGCCGCGUGAGGGAUGACGGCCUUCGGGUUGUAAACCUCUUUUAGUAGGGAAGAAGCGAAAGUGACGGUACCUGCAGAAAAAGCACCGGCUAACUACGUGCCAGCAGCCGCGGUAAUACGUAGGGUGCGAGCGUUGUCCGGAAUUAUUGGGCGUAAAGAGCUCGUAGGCGGUCUGUCGCGUCUGCUGUGAAAACCCGAGGCUCAACCUCGGGCCUGCAGUGGGUACGGGCAGACUAGAGUGCGGUAGGGGAGAAUGGAAUUCCUGGUGUAGCGGUGGAAUGCGCAGAUAUCAGGAGGAACACCGAUGGCGAAGGCAGUUCUCUGGGCCGUAACUGACGCUGAGGAGCGAAAGCGUGGGGAGCGAACAGGAUUAGAUACCCUGGUAGUCCACGCCGUAAACGUUGGGCGCUAGAUGUGGGGACCAUUCCACGGUUUCCGUGUCGCAGCUAACGCAUUAAGCGCCCCGCCUGGGGAGUACGGCCGCAAGGCUAAAACUCAAAGGAAUUGACGGGGGCCCCGCACAAGCGGCGGAGCAUGCGGAUUAAUUCGAUGCAACGCGAAGAACCUUACCAAGGCUUGACAUACACGAGAACGGGCCAGAAAUGGUCAACUCUUUGGACACUCGUGAACAGGUGGUGCAUGGUUGUCGUCAGCUCGUGUCGUGAGAUGUUGGGUUAAGUCCCGCAACGAGCGCAACCCUCGUUCUAUGUUGCCAGCGCGUAAUGGCGGGAACUCAUAGGAGACUGCCGGGGUCAACUCGGAGGAAGGUGGGGAUGACGUCAAAUCAUCAUGCCCCUUAUGUCUUGGGCUUCACGCAUGCUACAAUGGCCGGUACAAAGGGCUGCAAUACCGUAAGGUGGAGCGAAUCCCAAAAAGCCGGUCUCAGUUCGGAUUGAGGUCUGCAACUCGACCUCAUGAAGUCGGAGUCGCUAGUAAUCGCAGAUCA
Molecule: ribosomal RNA, 1181 nt
Filed under: Leifsonia shinshuensis
Lineage: Bacteria; Bacillati; Actinomycetota; Actinomycetes; Micrococcales; Microbacteriaceae
Description: bacterial SSU rRNA
Rfam family: Bacterial small subunit ribosomal RNA
Source: RNAcentral